UAUCGGAACGUAUCCAAUAAUGGGGGAUAACUAGCCGAAAGGUUGGCUAAUACCGCAUACGCCCUACGGGGGAAAGCAGGGGAUCUUCGGACCUUGCGUUAAUGGAGCGGCUGAUAUCUGAUUAGCUAGUAGGUGAGGUAAAGGCUCACCUAGGCGACGAUCAGUAGCUGGUCUGAGAGGACGACCAGCCACACUGGAACUGAGACGCGGUCCAGACUCCUACGGGAGGCAGCAGUGGGGAAUUUUGGACAAUGGGGGCAACCCUGAUCCAGCCAUUCCGCGUGAGUGAAGAAGGCCUUCGGGUUGUAAAGCUCUUUCGCAAGGGAAGAAACGAUACGGACGAAUAAUCCGUGUUAAUGACGGUACCUUGAUAAGAAGCACCGGCUAACUACGUGCCAGCAGCCGCGGUAAUACGUAGGGUGCGAGCGUUAAUCGGAAUUACUGGGCGUAAAGCGUGCGCAGGCGGUUUUGAAAGUCAGAUGUGAAAUCCCCGGGCUCAACCUGGGAACUGCGUUUGAAACUCCAAGUUUGAAGUAUGGGAGAGGGGGGGUAGAAUUCCACGUGUAGCAGUGAAAUGCGUAGAGAUGUGGAGGAAUACCAAUGGCGAAGGCAGCCCCCUGGCCUAAUACUGACGCUCAUGCACGAAAGCGUGGGGAGCAAACAGGAUUAGACACCCUGGUAGUCCACGCCCUAAACGAUGUCUACUAGUUGUUGGGAGAGUAAAAUCUCUUAGUAACGCAGCUAACGCGUGAAGUAGACCGCCUGGGGAGUACGGUCGCAAGAUUAAAACUCAAAGGAAU
RNAcentral lists this ribosomal RNA (800 nucleotides) under uncultured bacterium. Its description in RNAcentral is "bacterial SSU rRNA". It matches the Rfam family "Bacterial small subunit ribosomal RNA", at positions 116 to 910 of the family's 1533-position model. The record is from RNAcentral.